GAUGAACGCUGGCGGCGUGCCUAAUACAUGCAAGUCGAGCGAACAGACGAGGAGCUUGCUCCUCUGACGUUAGCGGCGGACGGGUGAGUAACACGUGGAUAACCUACCUAUAAGACUGGGAUAACUUCGGGAAACCGGAGCUAAUACCGGAUAAUAUAUUGAACCGCAUGGUUCAAUAGUGAAUGACGGUUUUGCUGUCACUUAUAGAUGGAUCCGCGCCGCAUUAGCUAGUUGGUAAGGUAACGGCUUACCAAGGCAACGAUGCGUAGCCGACCUGAGAGGGUGAUCAGCCACACUGGAACUGAGACACGGUCCAGACUCCUACGGGAGGCAGCAGUAGGGAAUCUUCCGCAAUGGGCGAAAGCCUGACGGAGCAACGCCGCGUGAGUGAUGAAGGUCUUCGGAUCGUAAAACUCUGUUAUUAGGGAAGAACAAAUGUGUAAGUAACUAUGCACGUCUUGACGGUACCUAAUCAGAAAGCCACGGCUAACUACGUG
This 497-nucleotide ribosomal RNA is filed under the name uncultured bacterium. RNAcentral describes it as "partial 16S ribosomal RNA". It matches the Rfam family "Bacterial small subunit ribosomal RNA", at positions 28 to 507 of the family's 1533-position model. The record is from RNAcentral.